Molecule: ribosomal RNA, 414 nt
Filed under: uncultured microorganism
Description: bacterial SSU rRNA
Rfam family: Archaeal small subunit ribosomal RNA
Source: RNAcentral
GCGCACCAGGCGCGAAACUUCACACUGUGCGAAAGCACGAUGAGGGAAUCCCAAGUGCUUGCACGUAAGUGUAAGCUGUUUCUCUGUCUAAAACGCAGAGAGAGUAAGGGCUGGGUAAGACGGGUGCCAGCCGCCGCGGUAAUACCUGCAGCUCAAGUGGUGACCGUUAUUAUUGGGCCUAAAACGUCCGUAGCCGGUUUAAUAAAUGCCUGGGUAAAUUGUGUAGCUUAACUAUACGAAUUCCGGGUAGACUGUUAAACUUGAGACCGGGAGAAGUUAGAGGUACUCCUGGGGUAGAGGUGAAAUUCUGUAAUCCUAGGGGGACCACCAGUGGCGAAGGCGUCUAACUAGAACGGGUCUGACGGUGAGGGACGAAGCCCUGGGGCGCAAACGGGGAUUAGAUACCCCUGUAGU